AGUGCUUUUGUAACAACCUCAGCUGUGGGUGUGAAAACAGAUCUGUUGUUUGUGUCGGAUCGUUCAUAGAACUGUGAAUUAUCAGCGACACACGAACUCAUUUCAGCCACAGAUCGAAACAACCGAUAAACAUGGUCUGACUGAUCAUUAAAGCUAGCAUCUACGUGGUGAGGAAGAUCCAGGCCUCCAUUGCUGAUGGAGAGCAAAAGGAGAAACCCAAUGCUUCACCAUGUAGUGCUAUCGCUGAAAAGGGGGCGGGACAUGAGUCGCUAGAAAACAAACCAGCGGCGGCUCUGAUGUUGGGGCCUGAGGAAGACGUCCGUGGAGCAGCAGUCAUGGGCGUGUCCUCGGAGAAGGCUCUGCAGUCAUGUGGGUCCUGACAUUAAAGAUCAUGCUGGAAACUGGGACUGGGAUCAACUCACUUGAAAAUUGUAAUUUGUCAUCUUUGUAUAAAUGCAAUGCAAAACAAAGUUUCACUAUUAUGGCCGAUCACUUGUAUGUACAUAACCAUACGCUCACAUACAAAGCUCAUCAUCAUUGAUUUUCAAGCGGCCAUGCAGUGAUGAUUCCAAUCAAGUGUCUGUGCUGAACUCAGUGUCGAGAUCCUCAUGACUCACAUUUUGGCCUUUUUCACAGCAGACAUUUGGGCUCACCACAGCACGAAAAUACACAAAUAACCUUAUUGUAAUGUAAUGCAAACAUUGUUGUCGUUUAAUUCUAUUUGGUUAGUCCUCAUGUUGUCUGUGAGAAAGGCCUAUAUUUAUACUCUGCAGUGUUUGAAGGCCGACUCACCAACCUCUCUCCAGGGGCUGAGUAGGCCUGAUGUUGUUGCCGUUGUAUCAAUAAAUGGAUAAAAAGA
Platichthys flesus (European flounder) is the source of this 859-nucleotide long non-coding RNA. RefSeq lists it as uncharacterized. The transcript has 3 exons. Lineage: Eukaryota; Metazoa; Chordata; Actinopteri; Pleuronectiformes; Pleuronectidae. The record is from RefSeq and is a predicted model, not a curated record.